CCUACGGGAGGCAGCAGUGAGGAAUAUUGGUCAAUGGACGGAAGGCUGACCCAGCCAUGCCGCGUGAAGGUCAGUGCCCUUUGGGCGUUAAACUUCUUUUGUGCGGGAGCAAUCAUGGUCACGUGUGGCCAGACGAGAGUACCGUACGACUAAGCAUCGGCUAACUCCGUGCAAGCAGCCGCGGCAAUACGGUGGAUGAAAGCGUUAUCCGGAUUUAUUGGGUUUAAAGGGUGCGUAGGCUGGGAGGUAAGUCAGCGGGGAAAUGCCCCCGCUCAACGGGGUGAAGUGCAAUUGAUACUGCCUUGCUGGAGUGCGGAUGCGGUGGGAGGAAUGUGUGGUGUAGCGGUGAAAUGCAUAGAUAUCACACAGAACACCGAUUGCGAAGGCAUCUCACGGAUCCGCGAUUGACGCUGAUGCACGAAAGCGUGGGGAUCAAACAGGAUUAGAUACCCCGGUAGUC
RNAcentral lists this ribosomal RNA (460 nucleotides) under uncultured bacterium. RNAcentral describes it as "partial 16S ribosomal RNA". It matches the Rfam family "Bacterial small subunit ribosomal RNA", at positions 338 to 795 of the family's 1533-position model. The record is from RNAcentral.